This 2902-nucleotide ribosomal RNA is filed under the name Klebsiella pneumoniae. RNAcentral's name for it is "23S ribosomal RNA". It matches the Rfam family "Bacterial large subunit ribosomal RNA". The record is from RNAcentral. Lineage: Bacteria; Pseudomonadati; Pseudomonadota; Gammaproteobacteria; Enterobacterales; Enterobacteriaceae.
GGUUAAGCGACUAAGCGUACACGGUGGAUGCCCUGGCAGUCAGAGGCGAUGAAGGACGUGCUAAUCUGCGAAAAGCGUCGGUAAGGUGAUAUGAACCGUUAUAACCGGCGAUGUCCGAAUGGGGAAACCCAGUGCAAUUCGUUGCACUAUCGUUAACUGAAUACAUAGGUUAACGAGGCGAACCGGGGGAACUGAAACAUCUAAGUACCCCGAGGAAAAGAAAUCAACCGAGAUUCCCCCAGUAGCGGCGAGCGAACGGGGAGCAGCCCAGAGUCUGAAUCAGCUUGUGUGUUAGUGGAACGGUCUGGAAAGUCCGACGGUACAGGGUGAUAGUCCCGUACACCAAAAUGCACAGGUUGUGAACUCGAAGAGUAGGGCGGGACACGUGGUAUCCUGUCUGAAUAUGGGGGGACCAUCCUCCAAGGCUAAAUACUCCUGACUGACCGAUAGUGAACCAGUACCGUGAGGGAAAGGCGAAAAGAACCCCGGCGAGGGGAGUGAAAAAGAACCUGAAACCGUGUACGUACAAGCAGUGGGAGCACCUUCGGGUGUGACUGCGUACCUUUUGUAUAAUGGGUCAGCGACUUAUAUUCUGUAGCAAGGUUAACCGUAUAGGGGAGCCGCAGGGAAACCGAGUCUUAACUGGGCGUUAAGUUGCAGGGUAUAGACCCGAAACCCGGUGAUCUAGCCAUGGGCAGGUUGAAGGUUGGGUAACACUAACUGGAGGACCGAACCGACUAAUGUUGAAAAAUUAGCGGAUGACUUGUGGCUGGGGGUGAAAGGCCAAUCAAACCGGGAGAUAGCUGGUUCUCCCCGAAAGCUAUUUAGGUAGCGCCUCGUGAACUCAUCUUCGGGGGUAGAGCACUGUUUCGGCUAGGGGGUCAUCCCGACUUACCAACCCGAUGCAAACUACGAAUACCGAAGAAUGUUAUCACGGGAGACACACGGCGGGUGCUAACGUCCGUCGUGAAGAGGGAAACAACCCAGACCGCCAGCUAAGGUCCCAAAGUCAUGGUUAAGUGGGAAACGAUGUGGGAAGGCACAGACAGCCAGGAUGUUGGCUUAGAAGCAGCCAUCAUUUAAAGAAAGCGUAAUAGCUCACUGGUCGAGUCGGCCUGCGCGGAAGAUGUAACGGGGCUAAACCAUGCACCGAAGCUGCGGCAGCGACACUAUGUGUUGUUGGGUAGGGGAGCGUUCUGUAAGCCUGCGAAGGUGACCUGUGAGGGUUGCUGGAGGUAUCAGAAGUGCGAAUGCUGACAUAAGUAACGAUAAAGCGGGUGAAAAGCCCGCUCGCCGGAAGACCAAGGGUUCCUGUCCAACGUUAAUCGGGGCAGGGUGAGUCGACCCCUAAGGCGAGGCCGAAAGGCGUAGUCGAUGGGAAACAGGUUAAUAUUCCUGUACUUGGUGUUACUGCGAAGGGGGGACGGAGAAGGCUAUGUUAGCCGGGCGACGGUUGUCCCGGUUUAAGCAUGUAGGCUGAUUGUCCAGGCAAAUCCGGAUAAUCAAGGCUGAGGUGUGAUGACGAGGCACUACGGUGCUGAAGUAACAAAUGCCCUGCUUCCAGGAAAAGCCUCUAAGCAUCAGGUAACAUCAAAUCGUACCCCAAACCGACACAGGUGGUCAGGUAGAGAAUACCAAGGCGCUUGAGAGAACUCGGGUGAAGGAACUAGGCAAAAUGGUGCCGUAACUUCGGGAGAAGGCACGCUGGUGUGUAGGUGAAGCCCCUGCGGGUGGAGCUGAGACCAGUCGAAGAUACCAGCUGGCUGCAACUGUUUAUUAAAAACACAGCACUGUGCAAACACGAAAGUGGACGUAUACGGUGUGACGCCUGCCCGGUGCCGGAAGGUUAAUUGAUGGGGUUAUCCGUAAGGAGAAGCUCUUGAUCGAAGCCCCGGUAAACGGCGGCCGUAACUAUAACGGUCCUAAGGUAGCGAAAUUCCUUGUCGGGUAAGUUCCGACCUGCACGAAUGGCGUAAUGAUGGCCAGGCUGUCUCCACCCGAGACUCAGUGAAAUUGAACUCGCUGUGAAGAUGCAGUGUACCCGCGGCAAGACGGAAAGACCCCGUGAACCUUUACUAUAGCUUGACACUGAACAUUGAGCCUUGAUGUGUAGGAUAGGUGGGAGGCUUUGAAGCGUGGACGCCAGUCUGCGUGGAGCCAACCUUGAAAUACCACCCUUUAAUGUUUGAUGUUCUAACGUUGGCCCCUUACCGGGGUUGCGGACAGUGUCUGGUGGGUAGUUUGACUGGGGCGGUCUCCUCCCAAAGCGUAACGGAGGAGCACGAAGGUUAGCUAAUCCUGGUCGGACAUCAGGAGGUUAGUGCAAUGGCAUAAGCUAGCUUGACUGCGAGCGUGACGGCGCGAGCAGGUGCGAAAGCAGGUCAUAGUGAUCCGGUGGUUCUGAAUGGAAGGGCCAUCGCUCAACGGAUAAAAGGUACUCCGGGGAUAACAGGCUGAUACCGCCCAAGAGUUCAUAUCGACGGCGGUGUUUGGCACCUCGAUGUCGGCUCAUCACAUCCUGGGGCUGAAGUAGGUCCCAAGGGUAUGGCUGUUCGCCAUUUAAAGUGGUACGCGAGCUGGGUUUAGAACGUCGUGAGACAGUUCGGUCCCUAUCUGCCGUGGGCGCUGGAGAAUUGAGGGGGGCUGCUCCUAGUACGAGAGGACCGGAGUGGACGCAUCACUGGUGUUCGGGUUGUCAUGCCAAUGGCACUGCCCGGUAGCUAAAUGCGGAAGAGAUAAGUGCUGAAAGCAUCUAAGCACGAAACUUGCCCCGAGAUGAGUUCUCCCUGAGACUUUAAGUCUCCUGAAGGAACGUUGAAGACGACGACGUUGAUAGGCCGGGUGUGUAAGCGCAGCGAUGCGUUGAGCUAACCGGUACUAAUGAACCGUGAGGCUUAACCUU